CCUCAUCCUUCUUCAAAUAGUCACAUGUGUUGUGCCAUUCUUCCAAACGUGAAGACGAUAGAGCAGAAAGAGCUGGUCUCGGAUGUUGUCUGGGAAGCUUGAUAUGGAGAUGGAUUAUGGUCCAGAGAUGCAGUUAAAAUUGGCUUGUCCAGAAUCAGAGAGUGUUCAUACAAAGGGCAACAUUCCAGAGAGAGGCCAGUGGUCAAAUAAAGUUGAAUUUCUCCUGGCUGUCACUGGGCAAAUUAUCGGUUUAGGAAAUGUGUGGAGGUUCCCAUACUUAUGCUACAAGAAUGGAGGAGGAGUAUUUUUAAUUCCAUAUUUCAUCUUCCUAUUUGUCUGUGGCAUUCCACUGUUCCUCAUGGAGAUAUCAUUGGGUCAGUACACCAGUCAGGGUGGCAUCACCUGCUGGAGGAAAAUCUGCCCCCUGUUUGAAGGAUUGGGCUAUGGAACUCUGGUGGCUGUGUUGUACUCCAGCAUCUACUACAUCCUAAUUUUGGCCUGGGCAUUCUUCUAUCUUUUUUCUUCCUUUAGUGCUGAAUUACCGUGGGCUACCUGCAACAAUUUCUGGAAUACCGAAGCAUGCACUGAAUUUGACAAACUGGGCAAUUUAAGCAACUUGAGUAUACCAGUGAAUGCAACUUCACCUGUUAAAGAGUUCUGGGAGAGGAGAGUGCUAAAUCUCACAGGCAGUGUGUAUGAGCUGGGCAAUGUGAGGUGGGAGUUGGCCCUGUGUCUCCUCUUAUCUUGGAUCAUCUGCUACUUCUGUGUGUGGAAGGGAGUGAAGUCUACAGGCAAGGUGGUUUAUUUCACUGCUACCUUUCCUUAUGUAAUGUUGGCAGUACUUUUAGUGCGUGGACUCUUGCUGCCUGGGGCUGUUGAUGGUAUCAUUUUUUACCUCUAUCCAGAUUCUAAACGUCUCAUGGAUCCACAGGUGUGGAUGGAUGCUGGAACGCAGAUUUUUUACUCCUACGCUCUCUGCAUUGGGUGCCUUAUUGCAAUGGGAAGCUACAACAAGUACAAUAAUAACUGCUACAAGGACUGUAUUUGUCUGUGCCUGUUGAACAGUGGGACCAGUUUUGUAGCUGGUUUUGCCAUCUUCUCAGUGCUAGGCUUUAUGGCCAAUGAACAGGGGACAAACAUCUCAACAGUGGCAGAGUCAGGCCCAGGCUUGGCCUUCAUUGCAUACCCCAGAGCUGUUGCGAUGAUGCCUGUUCCACAACUAUGGGCCAUUUGUUUCUUUGUUAUGAUUAUUCUGCUAGGACUGGACAGUGAGUUUGUGUGUUUGGAGGCAUUGAUGACUGCUGCAGUUGACACAUACCCCUCGUUCUUCCUUUCUGGUCAUCGCCGCAAAUUCUGCCUGGCCAUCCUUUGUUGUGUGUGUUUCCUGAUUGGCCUGCUUAUGACAACAGAGGGUGGCUUGUAUAUUUUCCAGUUGUUUGACUACUAUUCCUGCAGUGGGAUGACAAUUCUCUUAUUUGCCAUUCUGCAAUCAGUGUGCAUAGGGUGGGUGUAUGGUGCUGAUCGUCUUUGUGAUAAUAUUGAGAGCAUGACUGGACAUAAGCCAGUGUUCUUAAUAAAGUAUUGUUGGAAGUACCUCACCCCUCUAUGCUGCACAGGUACAUUUAUCUUCUCUCUGAUCAAAUUCACUCCUCUGAAGUUUAACAAUGUUCUUGAAUACCCCUGGUGGGGCUAUGCUAUUGGUUGGUGGUUCACGCUCUCUUCAACUCUGUUGGUUCCUCUUUGGAUGAUCUAUGCGCUGCUCACGUCUAGUGGCUCAAUGAGACAGCUAUUGUCACAUUUGAUCUUCCUUAGAGACUACGUGCUCUCUGCACCCCAGCAAGUGACCUGAGGUAAACACUAUGCAACUGGAAGCUAUGGGGGAUUUCUUACCCAAUUACAAAGGAUUUACAAGCUUUUACCUUUACAGAUCACAAGUGAUGAUUACAAAAUGUACACUACAUAUCCAUCCGUCCAUCCAUUAUCUGUAGACGCUGGUCGCAAGCAAGCUGGAGCCUAUCCCAGCUAACUAUGGGCGAGAGGCGGGGUACUCUACAUAUCUACAAAUAUGUAAAUACAUUUCCAAAUCUAAAGUUCAUAUAACAAAACCUAUGCUCUGUUACAGUUUAAAGGUUUUUAACUACCUACUUGGUGACAAAGCAAAUAGCAAUAUUAUUGAGAUUCAAAGUGCCUUUUCGAGCCUAUUUGUUUCUACUUGAUUUCCCACUCCACUUUGUUCAGGGAAUCAAUAUACUGUAACCAGAUUCUAAACAAGCAAAACUUCUCUGAGAAUAAAUCAGCCAUUCCAGACAGAUUAUGCAGUGAUUUCUCAAGAGAAUUUCAGCCAUAUUUGGCAUUAUUGGUGCUUGCUAGUCUUUAUGGAGAAUGUUUUCCCCCACAUGAAGAUUCAAAUUCAGAAGUUGUUUACCUCAGAAUUGUAUAGUUUCUUGUUCCCAUGUUUUGAGUCAUAACUGGAAAAACGUUGAUUUUGUCCAUCUAAAAAUUUAUCGAAAAGCACAGCUGUUCAUUUUAUGAACUGAGAAUUGUGUGACUAAUUUUAUCGGGGUAACCAUUCUAUAUAACUACAACCCCAAUUCCAAAAAAGUUGGGACACUGUAAAAAAUAAAUAAAAACAGAAUGCAAUGAUUUGCAAAUCUCAAACUCAUUUUUUUUCUUUACAAUAGAACAUAGACAACAUAUCAAGUGUUUAAACUGAGACAUUUUAUUAUUUCAUGAAAAAUAUUCUUUUUGGAAACCAUGGACACUGUGUCCUCCAGACUAAAGUGGAGAGGGAAUAUCUGCCUUGUUAUCAGUUCAAAAGCCUGCAUCUCUGAUGGUAUGGGGGUGGAUUAGUGCCUAUGGCAUGGGCAGCUUGCACAUCUGAAAAGGCACCAUCAAUGCUGAAAGGUAUAUACAAGUUUUAAAGCAACAUAUGCUCCCAUCCAGACAACAUCUUUUUCCAGGAAGGCCUCGCACAUUUCAGAAAGACAGUGCUAACCCGCAUAUUGCAUCUAUUACAACAGCAUGGCUUCAUAGUAGAGUAAGGGUGCUGAACUGGCCUACCUGCAGUCCAGACCUUUCACCAAUUGAAAACAUUUGGCGCAUCAUGAAACGAAAAAUACGACAAAGACAACCCAGGACUGUUGAGCAGCUAGAAUCCUAUAUCAAGCAAGAAUGGGACAACAUUCCUCUCCCAAAACUCCAGCAACUGGUCUCCUCAGUUCCCAGAUGUUUAUGGACUGUUGUUAAAAGAAGAGGGGAUACUACACAGUAGUAAACAUAGCCUUAUCCCAACUUUUUUUUUUUUUUGAGAUGUUGCUGCCAUGGCGGCACGGUGGUGUAGUGGUUAGCGCUGUCGCCUCACAGCAAGAAGGUCCUGGGUUCGAGCCCCGGGGCCGGCGAGGGCCUUUCUGUGCGGAGUUUGCAUGUUCUCCCCGUGUCCGCGUGGGUUUCCUCCGGGUGCUCCGGUUUCCCCCAC
This is an RNA transcript of Neoarius graeffei (lesser salmon catfish), 3475 nucleotides long. It is a transcript of the gene named sodium- and chloride-dependent GABA transporter 2-like, with no coding region annotated. Lineage: Eukaryota; Metazoa; Chordata; Actinopteri; Siluriformes; Ariidae. The transcript is spliced from 16 exons. The record is from RefSeq and is a predicted model, not a curated record.